RNAcentral lists this long non-coding RNA (927 nucleotides) under Bos taurus (domestic cattle). RNAcentral describes it as "long non-coding RNA NONBTAT026639". Lineage: Eukaryota; Metazoa; Chordata; Mammalia; Artiodactyla; Bovidae. The record is from RNAcentral.
GUUAAACACCUCAAACGUUUCAGACUAGUAAAUGAGUUUUUUAAAAUAAUCUGAAAUAAUCAAGAAAUUUCAUUUUUAGUACUUUUUCCCUAUGCUUUGAACAAUGUAAUGCCCCAACAUUGUUUUUUCUUGUUCCUAUUAUUGCAUGAAGUUCAAACUAGGUCCUCAAGACAGAACCUUUCUGUAAUAAAGAAAAAGUGCAAAGGUACAAAAUGAAAUGUAAAGUCUUUUGCAAGAAAAUGCUCCCUCAAGAGAACAGUUGUUUGGAUGCAGGUGGGAAAAAAGAUUUUUGUUCUCCAUUGUACAUCUGACACCUACAAAUGACCUUGUCUUCAAUGUCCAUACUAGUAAGUACAUAUUGGUCAUGGACCUUGCAAAAAAAAAUAAUCAAGUAGCAAAUUCCACUAAAAUAUUUGUAUCCAUUCUACACAGUCCAAUGGAAAUUAAUGAGUGCUAUUGAAAAAGGUUUUCACAUGCACAUGUCCAAUAUGUGCAUUGAAGGCUAAAAACUUAAAAUUCUAUUUCCAGUGUUUAUGAAUAGCUUCAGUAUCUACAUUCAUAACCAGCAUUCUGCAUGAGUUACCUCUUAAUACUUCACAAAUGAGUAAUAAUACAUCUUGGGAGGUUAGGAAGGUACCUGUUAAUAACUUUCUUUUAUGCUUAGAAUGUGAUGCAGUUGUUUUUAAACUAUUUAAAAUGAACACCCCUAUUAUAAUGGGACAUUUUAUACCAAGAGGAAAAUGAGUUUGUUUUUAGCCAAUCAGGACUACCCUGCAGAUCUGAAAACUGUAGAUUACACCCUUAGUAAAGGAUACAAGGAGGCUCACAAAUAUAAACAAAUCCUGACUUUUACAUGGACAAUUUUUUUAGAAAGAUAAAAUGUAUUACAUAAGCGCCAUAAACAGUAAAAUCUGCUUAUAUUAAAAA